UACGGAGGGUGCAAGCGUUAUCCGGAUUCACUGGGUUUAAAGGGUGCGUAGGAGGGCAGGUAAGUCAGUGGUGAAAUCCUGGGGCUUAACCCCAGAACUGCCGUUGAUACUAUCGGUCUUGAAUGUCGUGGAGGUGAGCGGAAUAUGUCAUGUAGCGGUGAAAUGCUUAGAUAUGACAUAGAACACCAAUUGCGAAGGCAGCUUGGUACACGGAUAUUGACUCUGAGGCACGAAAGCGUGGGGAUCAAACAGG
RNAcentral lists this ribosomal RNA (253 nucleotides) under uncultured bacterium. RNAcentral's name for it is "partial 16S ribosomal RNA". It matches the Rfam family "Bacterial small subunit ribosomal RNA", at positions 524 to 776 of the family's 1533-position model. The record is from RNAcentral.